RNAcentral lists this ribosomal RNA (252 nucleotides) under Hyphomicrobiales bacterium. Its description in RNAcentral is "partial 16S ribosomal RNA". It matches the Rfam family "Bacterial small subunit ribosomal RNA", at positions 1 to 270 of the family's 1533-position model. The record is from RNAcentral. Lineage: Bacteria; Pseudomonadati; Pseudomonadota; Alphaproteobacteria; Hyphomicrobiales.
UCAACUUAAGAGUUUGAUCCUGGCUCAGAACGAACGCUGGCGGCAGGCCUAACACAUGCAAGUCGAACGAUAAGCCACCUUCGGGUGGUGGACAGUGGCAGACGGGUGAGUAACGCGUGGGAACGUGCCUUUCGGUUCGGGAUAACCCAGGGAAACUUGGGCUAAUACCGGAUACGCCCUUCGGGGGAAAGAUUCAUUGCCGAAAGAUCGGCCCGCGUCGGAUUAGCUAGUUGGUGGGGUAAUGGCCUACCA